This 1016-nucleotide ribosomal RNA is filed under the name uncultured bacterium. RNAcentral describes it as "bacterial SSU rRNA". It matches the Rfam family "Bacterial small subunit ribosomal RNA", at positions 357 to 1376 of the family's 1533-position model. The record is from RNAcentral.
AGGAAUAUUGGUCAAUGGACGGGAGUCUGAACCAGCCAAGUAGCGUGAAGGAUGACUGCCCUAUGGGUUGUAAACUUCUUUUAUACGGGAAUAAAGUGAUCCACGUGUGGAUUUUUGUAUGUACCGUAUGAAUAAGGAUCGGCUAACUCCGUGCCAGCAGCCGCGGUAAUACGGAGGAUCCGAGCGUUAUCCGGAUUUAUUGGGUUUAAAGGGAGCGUAGGCGGGUUGUUAAGUCAGUUGUGAAAGUUUGCGGCUCAACCGUAAAAUUGCAGUUGAUACUGGCGACCUUGAGUGCAACAGAGGUAGGCGGAAUUCGUGGUGUAGCGGUGAAAUGCUUAGAUAUCACGAAGAACUCCGAUUGCGAAGGCAGCUUACUGGAUUGUAACUGACGCUGAUGCCCGAAAGUGUGGGUAUCAAACAGGAUUAGAUACCCUGGUAGUCCACACAGUAAACGAUGAAUACUCGCUGUUGGCGAUAUACGGUCAGCGGCCAAGCGAAAGCAUUAAGUAUUCCACCUGGGGAGUACGCCGGCAACGGUGAAACUCAAAGGAAUUGACGGGGGCCCGCACAAGCGGAGGAACAUGUGGUUUAAUUCGAUGAUACGCGAGGAACCUUACCCGGGCUUAAAUUGCAACUGACUGAACCGGAAACGGUUCUUUCUUCGGACAGUUGUGAAGGUGCUGCAUGGUUGUCGUCAGCUCGUGCCGUGAGGUGUCGGCUUAAGUGCCAUAACGAGCGCAACCCUUAUCGAUAGUUACUAGCAGGUCAUGCUGAGGACUCUAUUGAGACUGCCGUCGUAAGAUGUGAGGAAGGUGGGGAUGACGUCAAAUCAGCACGGCCCUUACGUCCGGGGCUACACACGUGUUACAAUGGGGGGUACAGAAGGCAGCUACACGGCGACGUGGUGCUAAUCCCGAAAGCCUCUCUCAGUUCGGAUUGGAGUCUGCAACCCGACUCCAUGAAGCUGGAUUCGCUAGUAAUCGCGCAUCAGCCACGGCGCGGUGAAUACGUUCCCG